CGAAUAGAAGCCCGUUGGUUUGGGAAAUUAGCUGUUAAUUAAUUUUUCGUGGGUUAAAAGCCCGCCUAUUCA
This 72-nucleotide transfer RNA is filed under the name Anolis alutaceus. Its description in RNAcentral is "tRNA-Asn". The record is from RNAcentral. Lineage: Eukaryota; Metazoa; Chordata; Lepidosauria; Squamata; Anolidae.